UUGCUUGCAAACACACGUUUAAUUUAAUGACGCUUCAUACGCUACAUGCAAUAUCAAUAUGAAAUGUUUUGAGCUUCCUCUGAUGACAUUUUUUGGAUUUUGAUUGGGUAAUUUUCCAAAAUGAAUCCUUCCAUCCAUUCCUUAAUUCAGGUGAUCUCAAAGAUUGUCAAAUCCAUCUGGAAGCCGUGGAACUACCUGGCGGGGGAGGGUGAUGAGGAAGGAACACCGGGACCAAGUGAACAGGACAGGAAGGAGGAGACAGCCACCAAGGGCAGCCAGACGGAUACAGGAUCAGAUCCCCUCAGCACACCAGCUCCAGGUUUGUUUUCCUGGGGACGUUCAUGGUUCACGGGUCCCUCAAGGGGAAAUGCUGCAUCAGUGAGUGAAGAAUCACCCACUGGUCAGUCAACCACUCUGCCAGCCUCCACUGAACACCCCACGACUACAGAAAGCAAUCACAGCUCAGUGAAGCCAGAGAUCCAGACCUCCGCCACCUCCACCCCUGCAGUAGAAACCACCUCAUCCAGCGGGGGAACCUGGGUCCGUGUUGUGCCCUCAAAAGCGGAGACCACAACCCAGCUGAGUGACAAGAGGGAGGAGACGGUGACCUCUAGGGCUAGUGGUAGAGGAGGUAGAGGAAGGGGAAGGAAGAGGGGAGAAGACAGAGGGAGAGGAGAGGACAAGGGCAGAGAGGAGAGGGGGAAAGGAGAGGAGAAAGGGAAAGGAGAAGAGGAGGGGAGUGGCGAGCUUGGUGGUGUGGAAGCAAAAGGGGAGAUCCAGUUCACUCGUCGACCAGUUGGAACAAGUAAACCAAGAGAAAGAAACAGAGAAAGAUCCAGAGAGAGGGGUCAUCGGAGAGGCCAGUCCACGACUACCACCACUACCACCACCAGUCCUUCCCAGUCUACAUUUAUACCCGUAACUGGGUCAGACAGCACAAACCUGUCCUUACCCACUUCACCAUCUCCUACCCCAUCACCAAGCCCAUCAACAUCUCUAUUACCAAACACAUCCCAAAACGUUUCCUCUCCAGAAACUCCAUCACCUUCACCCUCCCCAUCACCAUCCCCCACAGCAUCCCUGUCCAACUCUUCAUCCCCGCUCCCUUCUUCUCCAUCCCCAUCUCCAACCCAAUCCUUGUUUGAAUCCCCAUCCCCGCCCCAAUCCACAUCCCAAUCCCAUUCUCAGUCUCCUUCGCCAUCCCCUUCAUCAUCUCCCUCAUCGUUCCCAUCCCCAUCCCUAUCGUUUUCACCAUCUCCACCUCCAUCUCAUACCCAGACUUUGGGAUCAGGGUAUCCAGCUCCACCCCCACGGUCAGACAGCCAGCCCGUCUCCAGGGACGUCCUCCCGUCGCUUCAGUGGGUCCCAGUGGAGAGAGCAGUUGUGCGAGGAGCUGUGGAGCACGCAAAGGGGCCUCCGGAUUCUCCUCCAUCACCCUCCGGCCCCCCAGAGGAGGAGGAGCCUGCUUGGUCUCAUUCUGUGGGCUCAGGGGCUCUGUUACCUGGCAACAUGGAGGACGAGGGCAGCAGAGGAGGAUUCAACCUCAGCAACAUGACUCUUGGCCCAGCAGGGAUGGGUGAGCUGUUUUCUUCACGGAGACGAGCUGCUGCGAGGAGUCAGCCGUGGAUAGAGAACAACUGUAAACUGUAUCGACAGGGAGCCAAGGGCAAGCAGCUCUGAUGCUGGUGUAUAUAAGGGUUGAUUGAUUGACUGGAAGACCCUGAAGUCAUCUAGGAACCUUGUGUUUUGUAAACCAGUUGCAUAAACAGUUCUGAUAUCUUUGCUGCACAAACAGAGAAAGUGGAUAGAGGAGCUCACGGGAGACUAGAUCUGAAUAAUGAGUCACAGUUUGCAAAUCUUCCUGUCACGCACUCACAUUCUCUCAUUUUCACUUCUCCCAGUCUGGUGUAGUGGGGGUCAGCAUUUGUUCUCCUGACUGGAUCACAGAGCACUUCAUCAGUCACUUCAAUCAGUGAGAGAGAAGAUGAAGAGGAGCCCCAUGUUGGCUUCACAGCUCUCGAGGACUCUCAGCAGCAAUACACAUUCUUGGCAUCAUUAUCAGUCACACACAUACACGCACACACACACACACACACACUCUCUAACAUAUGC
Myripristis murdjan (pinecone soldierfish) is the source of this 2112-nucleotide long non-coding RNA. Lineage: Eukaryota; Metazoa; Chordata; Actinopteri; Holocentriformes; Holocentridae. The record is from Ensembl.